UCAUUCAACAAUGAAGGCCCCCACCGUUCCAAUGCUAAUGAAUGAAGGCCCUCGAGAAUUGCAUUUUCUUCCACCCAAGUUUAAAUGUCAAACGUAUUCCAAUAUCUUUUUACACAUUAUUGUCGAUGUUCUUUAGUAAUGGAAUCCUCCCGUUGCCUUUGGGAGCUUCCUCGAUUGUAUCCAACUUCUAUUUUUGCCAUUUUCUUCCUCUCCCUCUUUUGCUAUCCUCUCUCUUCUCUUCCCGCCUCUCCCACCCUUGCUGGCCCC
This 267-nucleotide long non-coding RNA is filed under the name Cucumis sativus (cucumber). Its description in RNAcentral is "long non-coding RNA (CSAT_LNC001978)". Lineage: Eukaryota; Viridiplantae; Streptophyta; Magnoliopsida; Cucurbitales; Cucurbitaceae. The record is from RNAcentral.